UACGUAGGGUGCGAGCGUUGUCCGGAAUUAUUGGGCGUAAAGGGCGCGUAGGCGGCUUGGCAAGUGGAAGGUGAAAUCCCUCGGCUUAACCGAGGAACUGCCCUCCAAACUGCUUUGCUUGAGGCCGGGAGAGGUGAGUGGAAUUCCCAGUGUAGCGGUGAAAUGCGUAGAUAUUGGGAGGAACACCAGUGGCGAAGGCGGCUCACUGGACCGGUUCUGACGCUGAGGCGCGAAAGCGUGGGAAGCAAACGGG
Molecule: ribosomal RNA, 253 nt
Filed under: uncultured bacterium
Lineage: Bacteria
Description: partial 16S ribosomal RNA
Rfam family: Bacterial small subunit ribosomal RNA
Source: RNAcentral